CUCGUAGGCGGUUCAGCAAGUCGGCUGUGAAAUUCCGAGGCUCAACCUCGGAACUGCAGUCGAUACUGCUGUGACUCGAGUCCGGUAGAGGAGAAUGGAAUUCCCGGUGUAGCGGUGAAAUGCGCAGAUAUCGGGAGGAACACCAGUAGCGAAGGCGGUUCUCUGGGCCGGUACUGACGCUGAGGAGCGAAAGCGUGGGGAGCAAACA
This 208-nucleotide ribosomal RNA is filed under the name uncultured bacterium. Its description in RNAcentral is "partial 16S ribosomal RNA". It matches the Rfam family "Bacterial small subunit ribosomal RNA", at positions 568 to 774 of the family's 1533-position model. The record is from RNAcentral.